AGAGUUUGAUCAUGGCUCAGAGCGAACGCUAGCGGCGGGCCUAACACAUGCAAGUCGAGCGGGGAGCAAUCCCAGCGGCGAACGGGUGAGUAACACGUAGGUAAUGUGCCUCAAGGUGGGGAAUAACACCGGGAAACCGGUGCUAAUACCGCAUAUGUCGGGAGAUGAAAGCAGCAAUGCGCCAUGAGAGCAGCCUGCGUCCGAUUAUUUAUUCCUAGUUGGUGAGGUAAUGGCUCACCAAGGGUACGAUCGGUAGCUGGUCUGAGAGGAUGAUCAGCCACACUGGAACUGAGACACGGUCCAGACUCCUACGGGAGGCAGCAGUGGGGAAUAUUGCGCAAUGGGCGAAAGCCUGACGCAGCCACGCCGCGUGAGUGAUGAAGGCCUUCGGGUUGUAAAGCUCUGUCGGGAGGGAAGAAGGGGAAACCCUGACGGUACCUCGCAAGAAAGCACCGGCUAACUCUGUGCCAGCAGCCGCGGUAAUACAGAGGGUGCAAGCGUUGCUCGGAUUUACUGGGCGUAAAGCGUACGCAGACGGUUUGGUA
This 545-nucleotide ribosomal RNA is filed under the name uncultured bacterium. RNAcentral's name for it is "bacterial SSU rRNA". It matches the Rfam family "Bacterial small subunit ribosomal RNA", at positions 8 to 585 of the family's 1533-position model. The record is from RNAcentral.